RNAcentral lists this long non-coding RNA (250 nucleotides) under Carica papaya (papaya). Its description in RNAcentral is "long non-coding RNA (CPAP_LNC008254)". Lineage: Eukaryota; Viridiplantae; Streptophyta; Magnoliopsida; Brassicales; Caricaceae. The record is from RNAcentral.
ACUUCUUUUACUAUGCUAUUAGACUCAUUAGAGUGUGGGAACAGUCAUGCACUCUAACUUGUAGAUCCACGAGAUCCUCAUAGACUUAUAAGGGUAGAUCAACCUGCGGUUCCUCACUUUCUUCCUCAUCUGGGUCGCAUGGAAAAAGUGAAUUUUAUAUGCUCAGUAAAGAAAACAGUAUUAAACUAAUAUCAUAAGAUUUUAAAAGUUAAUUAUUUUAUCUUACCAUUUAACUUCCUUGUUUAUGUAU